AUGCCGAGAGCCUCGACGAAGAACUCCGAUGAAUUCCUUUCUCCGGAUACGCUGGAACAACCUUCUCCUCGUUUCUUCUUUUCGUCGACCCCGUCGUCCUCUACGACGAUCUACCCAUCAAUCAUCAACCAAUUAAAUUGGCAGUUCCUUCUCAAUCUUAGAUUCCUUUUCAUCUCAGAUGCAAAGAGUAAGAAGGCCACCAUGAGAAGAAAGCACAAAAUCCUGAGAAUUUACAAUUUCUUGCAUCUACCAUGA
This 255-nucleotide ribosomal RNA is filed under the name Triticum aestivum (bread wheat). RNAcentral describes it as "partial small subunit ribosomal RNA". Lineage: Eukaryota; Viridiplantae; Streptophyta; Magnoliopsida; Poales; Poaceae. The record is from RNAcentral.